UACGUAGGGUGCGAGCGUUGCCCGGAUUUAUUGGGCGUAAAGGGCGCGUAGGCGGCUACGCACGUCCGUUGUGAAAUCGCCCGGCUCAACUGGGCGGGGUCGGCGGAUACGGCGUAGCUUGAGCAAGCUAGGGGGCAAUGGAAUUCCCGGUGUAGUGGUGGAAUGCGUAGAUAUCGUGAGGAAGACCAGUGGCGAAGGCGGAUCUCUGGACAAAUCCUGACGCUGAGGCGCGAAGGCUAGGGGAGCAAACGGG
RNAcentral lists this ribosomal RNA (253 nucleotides) under uncultured bacterium. RNAcentral describes it as "partial 16S ribosomal RNA". It matches the Rfam family "Bacterial small subunit ribosomal RNA", at positions 524 to 776 of the family's 1533-position model. The record is from RNAcentral.